Cydia splendana is the source of this 1083-nucleotide long non-coding RNA. RefSeq lists it as uncharacterized. NCBI's taxonomy places the organism in Eukaryota, Metazoa, Arthropoda, Insecta, Lepidoptera, Tortricidae. The transcript has 3 exons. The record is from RefSeq and is a predicted model, not a curated record.
AAUAACUUGUGUGCCGUGUCGCCGCGCCGGCAACUCUUACUUUGUUAACUAAUUUAGUACGUACUACGGAAUAAUGUGAUUAGUACAGCUUUAUAAGCUGGGUUCGUUAGUAAUUAUAAUGUAUUUCGUGAGUUGCUUCAGCAACUGCAGAAAUGGGACUCUCCAAUAAUAAUAUGCUCUGUUUCUACGUGUUAGCCGCCUUCCUAGCGAUCGGCGACUGCACCUUAACCCCCAUAGUACGUCCAUUCUUGUCUCUGCUUAAUGCACCUCUUUCUACCUUGGGCAAUAAUGGAAACCCUUCUCUUUCCUCCUAUCCAUAUUCUGUGUCAUCCGGUCGAUGGGGAGGAGGAAAAAUGGAUACACCAGUCAUCAUACCGAAAGUAACAACUCUCGAUGGCGGUCUAUCGUCAAAAACUCCUGUUGCAAAGGUAAUAAAAACACACCUGAUGAACCCCCAGAUGGACAUGUGGACAAAUAAACCUGAAGAGUCAUAUAGAUAUUUGAAUAAGAUGGGAAAAUACGACGGUGUACCCAAAGUAACGGUUAGUCCUUGGAAAAAAGGAGUCACAGGUUUGAAUAAGGGUUGGUUAAUUGAUGGUUCACGACAAGAAGAUUUGGCAAAAAAACGUGUGAUUGUUACACCAUUGAAAGGCGGAUCCAGAAGAAUGAUGCUGCUCCAAAAGAAUGUUAUGGAUGGUGAUUCAGGAGAAGACGGAGGCUUCUUGAAAUAUGGGUCGAAUGAGCUAGGUUCUAAUGAAGAGUCUUGGAAAACGACUAAAUUUUUAACCCCGACCGCGAUGGAUGGUGAAAACUUGGAACGUGACAUGCCGAAAGAAGACAUGGAACGUAUCGUGAUUAUAGAGAAACCGAUUUCGUCCUGGUCCCACACAUCUCAUAAUCACCUCUGGCGCGGGUACAAAAUUGCAAGAAAUGGCAAAACUGCCUGUCCAUACUGCAACGAAGUAAAUAUGGUUUGAUUUACUGUCCUUACUGAUGUAAUAUUGCGAUAAAAGUUUCAAAUUCAUUCAAGUUGUUAUUAGGCCUUUAUUCAGUUUGAAAAUACAGAUUUUACUUUCGGGUGGA